This 1048-nucleotide long non-coding RNA is filed under the name Anolis carolinensis (green anole). Its description in RNAcentral is "lncRNA (ENSACAG00000042711.1)". Lineage: Eukaryota; Metazoa; Chordata; Lepidosauria; Squamata; Anolidae. The record is from RNAcentral.
CAGCAGGUGCAUCAUAUGAUAAGCAAAGCCUGCUGAAAUUCUCUGUUCUACUCAACAAUUAAAGGUACAGGAGCUGGACAUAUACGGUAAUGCAGUGGUUCUCAACCUGUGGGUCCCCAGAUAUUUUGGCCCCCAAUUCCCAGAAAUCCUAACAGAUGGUAAACUGGCUGGGAUUUCUGGGGGUUAUAGGCCAAAACACCUGGGGAACCACAGAUUGAGAACUGCUGCUGUAAUGAAUCAUUCAUGAGAUUACAUUAUGAAUCACCCACUUUGCAACUCAGGCAAGAAAAUAUAAUCUCAUGACGGACUUAUUACAUGUUCAACUAGAACUUCCAGAUAAAAUACAGAGCAGGGCUCCUCUAUCUUAAUGUGUCACUCAGCACACUAGCAUGGUGACAAUAGAGUAAAGUCUAUGACUUCUACAUUCCAAAUGUAAUGGCAACAUGCUAGAUGAAAUUUAAAGCAGAGGCAGGCAAAGUGCAGACUGCAUGUGGCCCAACAGAUUCCCCAAGUGCACUUCCCAAAACCUCUGAGGGAAAUAUCCUCCACAAAAGUUGAGACACUUUUAUUAUUUGAAAUAGUCAGCAUAGCUGUGGCAACCAAGUCACUCUCAUAACUUCCCAUCCAUUUUUUGGCCCUGCAGAAUGUCUUUGUUCUUGUUUUCUAGCAGUCCGUCUCAAACUUCCCAUCCCUUUUUUGGCCCUGCAGAAUGUCUUUGUUCUUGUUUUCUAGCAGUCCGUCUCAAACGUUCCCAUCACUCCUUCCAUCUCCUCUUAUUUGAAUCUCUGUCCUAAAUGCUUUUUGCUCAGCCUCCUUCAACAGAAAUCUCAUCGUUCACCUCCAAACAAUCUCAUCUCUUGUUCCAUCACUUUUCUAUUUUAAAUUCUCUUUGCUCAGCCCCCUUCAACAGUUCCCUGCUUUAAAUCGUAUAGUAGAAAUGUGGACCAUUGUCUCAAAAUGCUCCCACCCCCAUUCUCAGCAUUUUUUGCUUGAAUUCCUGCUCAAAAUCCUCUUUGCCUAACCACUUAAAACAAAUGUUGUUGCUCUG